Molecule: long non-coding RNA, 242 nt
Filed under: Rosa chinensis
Lineage: Eukaryota; Viridiplantae; Streptophyta; Magnoliopsida; Rosales; Rosaceae
Description: sRNA RchiOBHm_Chr1g0328781
Source: RNAcentral
GUGUCACCGGUCACCAGAGGAGCGCCUCCUCCCUCUGAGCACCCUAGCAACCUUGGUUUUCCACGAUUUGGCCGGAAAACCACGGAUCGAAGCCAAAACCCCACCGGCUGCAGUUUGGAACUUUUGCCGAUUUCCGGCGAUUCCGGCCACCUCCGGUCCCCAUUUUUCCGUCGAAGGGCAAUGUCGCGAGCUACGGUUAGAUGAAGGAACUCGUUUGCGUGGUUGCCAAUAGUACUAUUUAG